This 537-nucleotide ribosomal RNA is filed under the name Curvibasidium pallidicorallinum. RNAcentral describes it as "eukaryotic LSU rRNA". It matches the Rfam family "Eukaryotic large subunit ribosomal RNA", at positions 121 to 656 of the family's 3401-position model. Lineage: Eukaryota; Fungi; Basidiomycota; Microbotryomycetes. The record is from RNAcentral.
UCUGGCACUUUCAGUGUCCGAGUUGUAAUCUCGAGAAGUGUUUUCCGCGCCGGACCGCAUACAAGUCUGUUGGAAUACAGCGUCAUAGUGGUGAGAACCCCGUAACUGAUGCGGAUGCCCGGUGCUUUGUGAUACACUUUCGAAGAGUCGAGUUGUUUGGGAAUGCAGCUCAAAUUGGGUGGUAAAUUCCAUCUAAAGCUAAAUAUUGGCGAGAGACCGAUAGCGAACAAGUACCGUGAGGGAAAGAUGAAAAGCACUUUGGAAAGAGAGUUAACAGUACGUGAAAUUGUUGGAAGGGAAACGAUUGAAGUCAGACUUGUUAUCUGGAGUUCAGCCUUUCGGUGUACUCUCCAGUUUACAGGCCAGCAUCAGUUUUCGGGGCGGGAAAAUCGUAAUUAGAAGGUAGCAGCCUAGCUGUGUUAUAGCUUUUUACUGGAUUCCGCUUUGGGGACUGAGGAACGCAGUGUGCUUUUAGCAAUACCCUCGGGUAUUUCACACUUAGGAUGCUGGUGGAAUGGCUUUAAACGACCCGUCUUG